Molecule: ribosomal RNA, 439 nt
Filed under: uncultured organism
Description: bacterial SSU rRNA
Rfam family: Bacterial small subunit ribosomal RNA
Source: RNAcentral
CGGCAAUGGGGGAAACCCUGACCGAGCGACGCCGCGUGUGGGAUGAAGGCCCUUGGGUUGUAAACCACUGUCAGAGGGGAUGAAAUGCCGGAAAGUUAUCUCUCCGGUUUGACAUAGCCUCAGAGGAAGCACGGGCUAAGUUCGUGCCAGCAGCCGCGGUAAGACGAACUGUGCAAACGUUAUUCGGAAUCACUGGGCUUGAAGAGUGCGUAGGCGGUUUCGUAAGUAGGGUGUGAAAGCCCCCGGCUCAACCGGGGAAUUGCGUCCUAAACUGCGAGGCUGGAGUGAGGUAGGGGUGUGUGGAACUUCCAGUGGAGCGGUGAAAUGUGUUGGUAUUGGAAGGAACGCCGGUGGCGAAAGCGACACACUGGACCUUGUCUGGCGCUGAGGCACGAAAGCCAGGGGAGCAAACGGGAUUAGAUACCCGCGUAGUCCCUGA